GACGAACGCUGGCGGCGUGCUUAACACAUGCAAGUCGAACGGAAAGGCCCCUUUGGGGGUACUCGAGUGGCGCACGGGUGAGUAACACGUGAGUAACCUGCCCUUGACUUCGGGAUAACUUCAGGAAACUGGGGCUAAUACCGGAUAGGAAUCCUUGCUGCAUGGUGGGGGUUGGAAAGCUUCGGCGGUUUUGGAUGGACUCGCGGCUUAUCAGCUUGUUGGUGGGGUAGUGGCUUACCAAGGCUUUGACGGGUAGCCGGCCUGAGAGGGCGACCGGCCACAUUGGGACUGAGAUACGGCCCAGACUCCUACGGGAGGCAGCAGUGGGGAAUAGUGCACAAUGGGCGGAAGCCUGAUGCAGCAACGCCGCGUGCGGGAUGACGGCCUUCGGGUUGUAAACCGAUUUCAGCAGGGGCGAAGCUUGUGGUGACGGUACCUGCAGAAGAAGCACCGGCUAACUACGUG
RNAcentral lists this ribosomal RNA (465 nucleotides) under uncultured bacterium. Its description in RNAcentral is "partial 16S ribosomal RNA". It matches the Rfam family "Bacterial small subunit ribosomal RNA", at positions 28 to 507 of the family's 1533-position model. The record is from RNAcentral.